This 290-nucleotide ribosomal RNA is filed under the name uncultured bacterium. RNAcentral's name for it is "partial 16S ribosomal RNA". It matches the Rfam family "Bacterial small subunit ribosomal RNA", at positions 29 to 297 of the family's 1533-position model. The record is from RNAcentral.
AAUGAACGCUGGCGGCGUGGUUAAGACAUGCAAGUCGAACGGUUUUUGUUGUGUAGCAAUACAUAAACAAAAGCAGUGGCGAACGGGUGCGUAACACGUGAACAAUCUACCUUCAAAUGGGGAAUAGCUCGCCGAAAGGCGAAUUAAUACCGCAUGUGGUUGCCUCUCGCAUGAGAAGCAUACCAAAGUCAGGGACCGCAAGGCCUGACGUUAGAAGAGGAGUUCGCGGCCUAUCAGCUAGUUGGCGAGGUAACGGCUCACCAAGGCUAAGACGGGUAGCUGGUCUGAGA